AGGGCAUGAACAGCAGUUUGGAGGGCUGAGCUGCAGCACUUAUGGUCAUCUGGUGCCUUUUGUGUUGGGCUGUCCAUCUGCAAGGCAGAGGGGAGGGAAGAAAGGAGCAGCCUCCUGCCCUGCUUCCCUGUGCUGCUCUCCCCUGCAAAGCCCUGCUCACCAUGUUGCUGGUCUACCGGUCAUUGCCAUGGCCAUGUGGGGCUGCCUGUGUCCCCAAGGCUGUCUGGAAGGGUCCACUGCAAUCAGCAUGUCUGAUGCCAGCUCCUACAGUGGGGUCCCGGCUCAGGGAAGCAGCAGCAAACAUUGGGGUAGGGCAGGGGGUCCUUGGGGAGC
This 333-nucleotide long non-coding RNA is filed under the name Gallus gallus (chicken). Lineage: Eukaryota; Metazoa; Chordata; Aves; Galliformes; Phasianidae. The record is from RNAcentral.